Molecule: ribosomal RNA, 253 nt
Filed under: uncultured bacterium
Lineage: Bacteria
Description: partial 16S ribosomal RNA
Rfam family: Bacterial small subunit ribosomal RNA
Source: RNAcentral
UACAGAGGUUUCAAGCGUUGUCCGGAUUCAUUGGGCGUAAAGGGUGCGUAGGCGGCGCGGUAAGUCUGGUGUGAAAUCUCGGAGCUUAACUCCGAAACUGCAUUCGAUACUGCCGUGCUUGAGGACUGGAGAGGAGACUGGAAUUUACGGUGUAGCGGUGAAAUGCGUAGAUAUCGUAAGGAAGACCAGUGGCGAAGGCGGGUCUCUGGACAGUUCCUGACGCUGAGGCACGAAGGUCAGGGGAGCAAACGGG